AAGUCGUAACAAGGUUUCCGUAGGUGAACCUGCGGAAGGAUCAUUAACACGUAUCCAAACGUUAAAACCCCCCCCGUGAACCUUCAUCCUGCUCUUGUAACCCGCGUAGUUCGCAAUCUCUGAUAAAUCAUAGCCCGGAAAGUUGUAGUGAUUCAGAGACCUCUGGCUACGUGCGAACAUUGGAACAGUUACAAUCGAGCGGUAGUUCUAUAGGCAAUGUUUCCCCAAGCAGUCAGCGCUUCUACAAUUCCUGUAGACCGUACACUCGGGCAGGAGCUUUGCCAAAGGGUGCCCCCUAAUAACCCCACAGUUUAAUGUGAAGCUCAAUGUAAUACAUUGGGUAAAAAAACCGAACAACUGUUAACAAUGGAUUUCUUGGUUCUC
Molecule: unclassified non-coding RNA, 384 nt
Filed under: fungal sp.
Lineage: Eukaryota; Fungi
Description: partial internal transcribed spacer region
Rfam family: Eukaryotic small subunit ribosomal RNA (bases 1-46)
Source: RNAcentral